This 1451-nucleotide ribosomal RNA is filed under the name uncultured Bordetella sp. RNAcentral describes it as "partial 16S-23S ribosomal RNA intergenic spacer". It matches the Rfam family "Bacterial small subunit ribosomal RNA". Lineage: Bacteria; Pseudomonadati; Pseudomonadota; Betaproteobacteria; Burkholderiales; Alcaligenaceae. The record is from RNAcentral.
GGUUUGAUCAUGGCUCAGAUUGAACGCUGGCGGGAUGCUUUACACAUGCAAGUCGAACGGCAGCACGGACUUGGCCCGUGGCGAGGCGAAUCGGUGAGCAGCAGAUUGCCGCCAGUAAUGGGGAUAACUACGCGAAAGGUAGCUAAUACCGCAUACGCCCUUCGGGGGGAAAGUGGGGACUGCCUCGCGGUAAUCAUUAGAGCGGCCGAUAUCGGAUUAGCUAGUUGGUGGGGUAACGGCUCACCAAGGCGACGAUCCGUAGCUGGUUUGAGAGGACGACCAGCCACACUGGGACUGAGACACGGCCCGUAUUCCACGGAGGCAGCAGUGGGGAAUUUUGACAAUGGGGAAACCCCGAUCCAGCCAUCCCGCGUGUGCGAUGAAGGCCUUCGGGUUGUGGAAGCAGACUUUGGCAGAGAAGAAACGGCGUCGGAUAAUGUUCGCAACCGACGAAAUCAAGAAUAAGCACCUGGCGAAUUCGCGCCGGCAGCCAUGGCAAUACGUAGGGUGCAAGCGUUAAUCGGAAUUACUGGGCGUAAAAGCGUGCGCAGGCGGUUCGGAAAGAAAGAUGUGAAAUCCCAGAGCUUAACUUUGGAACUGCAUUUUUAACUACCGAGCUAGAGUGUGUCAGAGGGAGGUGGAAUUCCCGCGUGUAGCAGUGAAAUGCGUAGAUAUGCGGAGGAACAAUUGACAGCAAGGCGUUCUCCGGGAUAACACUGACGUCGCGCACAAAAGGUGGGACAUAAAACAGAUUAGAUACCUGUAGUCCACGCCCAAACGAUGUCAACUAGCUGUUGGGGCCUUCGCCUUGGUAGCGCAGCUAACGGUGAAGUUGACCGCCUGGGGGAGAGCAUGGUCGAUUAAACUCAGCAAUUGAUUUGGACCGCACAAGCGGUGGAUGAUGUGGAUUAAUUGAUGCAACGAAACUUACCUUAAAUUUGACAUGUCUGGAAUCCCGAAGAGAUUUGGGAGUGUCAGUAAGAGAACCGGAACACAGGUGCUGCAUGGCUGUCGUCAGCUCGUGUCGUGAGAUGUUGGGUUAAGUCCCAACGAGCGCAACCCUUGUCAUUAGUUGCUACGAAAGGCACUGCACGAGACUGUUUUUCGGUGACAAACCGAGGAAGGUGGGGAUGACGUCAAGUCUCAUGGCCUUUAUGGCAGGGCCUUACACGUCAUACAAUGGUCAACAGACGUGGCUCAACCCGCGAGGGGGAGCCAAUCCCAGAAACCCGAUCGUAGCCGGGAUCGCAGUCUGCAACUCGACUGCGUGAAGUCGGAAUCGCUAGUAAUCGCGGAUCAGCAUGUCGCGGUGAAUACGUUCCCGCAUCUUCGCGGUACACACCGCCCGUCACACCAUGGGAGUGGGUUUUACCAGAAGUAGCUAGCCUAACCGUAAGGAGGGCGAUUACCACGGUAGGAUUCAUGACUGGGGUGAAGUCGUAACAAGGUAG